GAUGAACGCUGGCGGCGUGCCUAAUACAUGCAAGUCGAGCGAACAGAUGGGGAGCUUGCUCCUCUGACGUUAGCGGCGGACGGGUGAGUAACACGUGGAUAACCUACCUAUAAGACUGGGAUAACUUCGGGAAACCGGAGCUAAUACCGGAUAAUAUAUUGAACCGCAUGGUUCAAUAGUGAAAGACGGUUUUGCUGUCACUUAUAGAUGGAUCCGCGCCGCAUUAGCUAGUUGGUAAGGUAACGGCUUACCAAGGCAACGAUGCGUAGCCGACCUGAGAGGGUGAUCGGCCACACUGGAACGUAGACACGGUCCAGACGCCUACGGGAGGCAGCAGUAGGGAAUCUUCCGCAAUGGGCGAAAGCCUGACGGAGCAACGCCGCGUGAGUGAUGAAGGUCUUCGGAGCGUAAAACUCUGUUAUUAGGGAAGAACAAAUGUGUAAGUAACUAUGCACGUCUUGACGGUACCUAAUCAGAAAGCCACGGCUAACUACGUG
This 497-nucleotide ribosomal RNA is filed under the name uncultured bacterium. RNAcentral describes it as "partial 16S ribosomal RNA". It matches the Rfam family "Bacterial small subunit ribosomal RNA", at positions 28 to 507 of the family's 1533-position model. The record is from RNAcentral.